This is a long non-coding RNA of Pan troglodytes (chimpanzee), 352 nucleotides long. RefSeq lists it as uncharacterized. The record is from RefSeq and is a predicted model, not a curated record. The transcript is spliced from 3 exons. NCBI's taxonomy places the organism in Eukaryota, Metazoa, Chordata, Mammalia, Primates, Hominidae.
UUUGCUAGUGGCGACCCAAUAAAUACCGGAUCUCCAAAAGCGCUGACAAUUUGCAGACCGGGCCUGGGAGUUAUAGAAAUCACUUCCGAAAUUGGUGGGAGGAAAAAGCGAGGUAUGGAGACACGGGGGCGUAUCCCUCUUCCAGAAUUCACGUUCCUUCCUUUGAGCUCUAAAGGUAGGCAUUUCAAGAAGCUGAUGCAUCAAGAAGACACAUGACCAGAGAUCCCAGCUCCCAGAUUCACAGGAUGCAGCAAGAAGGCAGCCAUCUGCAAGCCAUGAAGGGGGCCCUCAUCAGAACCUGAUCCUGCUGGCACUCUGAUCUCUGACUUCCCAUCCCCCAAAACUGUGAGAA